CACCCGAUUCUCAAAGGUAAAUAUCAGCUGGUAAUUCUGGGAGCAAUGCCUAAAUAUGAAACACUCGGAAUUUCAGUUGGUAUCGACUUUUUUGAAUUG
Molecule: non-coding RNA, 99 nt
Organism: Drosophila virilis
Lineage: Eukaryota; Metazoa; Arthropoda; Insecta; Diptera; Drosophilidae
Source: Rfam